RNAcentral lists this ribosomal RNA (448 nucleotides) under Geobacillus sp. S44C021. RNAcentral describes it as "bacterial SSU rRNA". It matches the Rfam family "Bacterial small subunit ribosomal RNA", at positions 95 to 526 of the family's 1533-position model. Lineage: Bacteria; Bacillati; Bacillota; Bacilli; Caryophanales; Anoxybacillaceae. The record is from RNAcentral.
GCGGCGGACGGGUGAGUAACACGUGGGCAACCUGCCCGCAAGACCGGGAUAACUCCGGGAAACCGGAGCUAAUACCGGAUAACACCGAAGACCGCAUGGUCUUCGGUUGAAAGGCGGCCUUUGGGCUGUCACUUGCGGAUGGGCCCGCGGCGCAUUAGCUAGUUGGUGAGGUAACGGCUCACCAAGGCGACGAUGCGUAGCCGGCCUGAGAGGGUGACCGGCCACACUGGGACUGAGACACGGCCCAGACUCCUACGGGAGGCAGCAGUAGGGAAUCUUCCGCAAUGGGCGAAAGCCUGACGGAGCGACGCCGCGUGAGCGAAGAAGGCCUUCGGGUCGUAAAGCUCUGUUGUGAGGGACGAAGGAGCGCCGUUCGAAGAAGGCGGCGCGGUGACGGUACCUCACGAGAAAGCCACGGCUAACUACGUGCCAGCAGCCGCGGUAAUAC